Molecule: non-coding RNA, 407 nt
Organism: Salmo salar (Atlantic salmon)
Lineage: Eukaryota; Metazoa; Chordata; Actinopteri; Salmoniformes; Salmonidae
Source: RefSeq, a predicted model, not a curated record
GCUAUCUACGGAAGCCGAGUAAGGACCUGCUGGUGGAUUUUUGAAUCUGACAUGACAGCUAUUUCUCACACAUAGCCAGAGCUACUUAUCGCAACAGAAAGGGGGUUCGGGAUUAUCUCUUUGCUCUAAAAACAAAGUGAGAGAUCAAAACCCUUUGCUACUAAAUACAUCUGGAUUGCAUCUGCCAUUCUGUAAAUGCUCAUUGCCACGGUACCGGUAGCUACUGCUAACAAAGCAAUUACGGAUCUGACAAAUCGGUGCGACCAGGAUGGAGUGGCAGCCGGAUGAACAGGGUUUGCAGCAGGUGCUUCAGCUGCUGAAGGACUCCCAGUCUCCAGACACAGCCACACAGAGAGCUGUGCAGGAAAAACUGGAACAGCUCAACCAGUUCCCCAGACUUCAACAAC